Molecule: ribosomal RNA, 649 nt
Filed under: uncultured bacterium
Lineage: Bacteria
Description: bacterial SSU rRNA
Rfam family: Bacterial small subunit ribosomal RNA
Source: RNAcentral
GGGAUAACAGUUGGAAACGACUGCUAAUACCGCAUAAGCGCACAGGGUCGCAUGGCCUGGUGUGAAAAACUCCGGUGGUAUGAGAUGGACCCGCGUCUGAUUAGCCAGUUGGUGGGGUAACGGCCUACCAAAGCGACGAUCAGUAGCCGACCUGAGAGGGUGACCGGCCACAUUGGGACUGAGACACGGCCCAAACUCCUACGGGAGGCAGCAGUGGGGAAUAUUGCACAAUGGGGGAAACCCUGAUGCAGCGACGCCGCGUGAGCGAAGAAGUAUUUCGGUAUGUAAAGCUCUAUCAGCAGGGAAGAAGAAAUGACGGUACCUGACUAAGAAGCACCGGCUAAAUACGUGCCAGCAGCCGCGGUAAUACGUAUGGUGCAAGCGUUAUCCGGAUUUACUGGGUGUAAAGGGAGCGCAGGCGGUACGGCAAGUCUGAUGUGAAAGCCCGGGGCUCAACCCCGGUACUGCAUUGGAAACUGUCGGACUAGAGUGUCGGAGGGGUAAGUGGAAUUCCUAGUGUAGCGGUGAAAUGCGUAGAUAUUAGGAGGAACACCAGUGGCGAAGGCGGCUUACUGGACGAUUACUGACGCUGAGGCUCGAAAGCGUGGGGAGCAAACAGGAUUAGAUACCCUGGUAGUCCACGCCGUAA